Molecule: long non-coding RNA, 1368 nt
Filed under: Homo sapiens (human)
Lineage: Eukaryota; Metazoa; Chordata; Mammalia; Primates; Hominidae
Description: HSALNT0106948
Source: RNAcentral
AUAAUUGUUCUGCUGCCAAAAGACAAGAGACAGAAAAGAUUCCUUCUUCAUAUCUUUACAUAUCAACUUUUAAAGUAAAUUAUUUACUUUUUUACUGUAUUUUUAUCAGUGAUAAAUUUAUAUCCUUUAUCCACACUAACGUGAAAAAUUUAACCCAAAAUAUUGCUUUGAUAUGGCAGGUAUUUAGAAGUCAUUGGUUCAAUUCUUCCAUCAAUGAACAGAUUAGUAAAGUGAUUUGAGUGAUUUGCUUACCAUCAUACUUAUGGCUUAUACCUUAUUGUCGUUAACAGAUUUCAAGUGUCGUGUUCUCAGCUCAGUGAUCAUCCUACUAGAGUCACUAUUUCAUCCAUCAUAUUUCACCCAAUAUAUUCACGCUUACAGCUGAUGAAGAUGACAACCCAGAAAUGCCAACUAUCAUAGACAAAACCCCAAGAAUAGCCUCUCUCUAGCCAAUACACCAGGAAAGAGGCAGGCUAGCAAGACAGAACUUUUAGACAAUAUACCUCUCUACUGCAGUCAACCACCACACCAAAUGGUGGUCACACCCACACCAUCAAAGGCUGAGUGAGGAGCCUAGAUUUCCACCAUCGUUGGUCUAUAAUGAUGCACCCCAAUCUUUCCACCAAGCCAGUGUCAGAAAAGACCUAGCAGGGAGCCAGGAUGUUCAUCUCCAUCAACAAGUAACAAGAGUCCCCCCUCAUGAUGUAUGUGGAACACUGGCAACCACAUGGGGAGCCUAAACUCCCACUCCCUCCCAGUAGUAAUAAGGUGCCCUCUGGCUUGUCUCCCACUGGAGUGCUGUUGGAGGAGGCACAGUGAAGAAGCAAGACUUUCACAACUGCUCAGCACUAGUGAAGCCAUCCCCCUCAGUGUGCUAUGAAUAGAGGCUGGGGAACAGUUAAAAGACACUGUUGCACUUUCUAGCCAGGGUAAUAGCAAUGGAAGCUAAGAAGGAAGCUGAAACUCCCAAACUCGCCAAGCAAUCAUUACUAGCCCCCCACCUAGAGUGUCAAUGGAGGUCAAGUGGAGAACCUGGACUUCUACUUCACAUGGCAGUAAGAAGGCAGUGCCCACCCCCUCCAUCCCUGGAGCAGUCUCAGAGGAAGCCAGCUAAAAGAGAAGGUUGAACUAAGAUUCAGAGUUUUCUGGUAUAAAAUUAAAAAUGUCCAGGUUUCUAUUUUUGUAACUAUAAUAAAAUGUGGUAUUUAUACACAAUGGAAUAGUAUGCAUCAGUUUAAAAUAUGCCUAUCAUUAGUGACAGCAUGGAUGAACCUGGAGGACAUUACGUUAAGUAUAUGCCAGGCAUUGGUUCACUCAUAUGUUGAACCUAAAAGUGUUGAUCUCAUAGAAGUAGGGAAUAGAAUGGAG